CCUACGGGGGGCUGCAGUGGGGAAUAUUGCACAAUGGGCGCAAGCCUGAUGCAGCCAUGCCGCGUGUGUGAAGAAGGCCUUCGGGUUGUAAAGCACUUUCAGCGGGGAGGAAGGCGGUGAGGUUAAUAACCUCAUCGAUUGACGUUACCCGCAGAAGAAGCACCGGCUAACUCCGUGCCAGCAGCCGCGGUAAUACGGAGGGUGCAAGCGUUAAUCGGAAUUACUGGGCGUAAAGCGCACGCAGGCGGUCUGUCAAGUCGGAUGUGAAAUCCCCGGGCUCAACCUGGGAACUGCAUUCGAAACUGGCAGGCUAGAGUCUUGUAGAGGGGGGUAGAAUUCCAGGUGUAGCGGUGAAAUGCGUAGAGAUCUGGAGGAAUACCGGUGGCGAAGGCGGCCCCCUGGACAAAGACUGACGCUCAGGUGCGAAAGCGUGGGGAGCAAACAGGAUUAGAUACCUUGUAGUC
Molecule: ribosomal RNA, 464 nt
Filed under: uncultured Klebsiella sp.
Lineage: Bacteria; Pseudomonadati; Pseudomonadota; Gammaproteobacteria; Enterobacterales; Enterobacteriaceae
Description: bacterial SSU rRNA
Rfam family: Bacterial small subunit ribosomal RNA
Source: RNAcentral